RNAcentral lists this ribosomal RNA (259 nucleotides) under uncultured bacterium. RNAcentral's name for it is "partial 16S ribosomal RNA". It matches the Rfam family "Bacterial small subunit ribosomal RNA", at positions 96 to 354 of the family's 1533-position model. The record is from RNAcentral.
UGGCGGACGGGUGAGUAACGCGUGGAAAACCUGCCGUAUACUGGGGGAUAACACUUAGAAAUAGGUGCUAAUACCGCAUAAGCGCACAGCUUCGCAUGAAGCGGUGUGAAAAACUCUGGUGGUAUACGAUGGUUCCGCGUCUGAUUAGCUAGUUGGUGGGGUAAUGGCCUACCAAGGCAACGAUCAGUAGCCGGCCUGAGAGGGGUGAACGGCCACAUUGGGACUGAGACACGGCCCAAACUCCUACGGGAGGCAGCAG